Long non-coding RNA from Mesoplodon densirostris (Blainville's beaked whale), 1590 nucleotides. RefSeq lists it as uncharacterized. The transcript has 3 exons. The record is from RefSeq and is a predicted model, not a curated record. NCBI's taxonomy places the organism in Eukaryota, Metazoa, Chordata, Mammalia, Artiodactyla, Ziphiidae.
CUGUCUUUCAGCUCUCCCUUCCUUCCCCCUUCCAUAAACGGCCAUGUGGUGCUGGGGCUGAGGCUCUGAAAACCGCUGGCAGAUGUUCAGUCGGCGUCCGCCCAGGGGCGCUGGAGGGCGCCUGCGGGCUCUGAUCCCAGAGGCAUCGCCCCAGCCCCACCUCUUCAACAGGCAGAGCAGAGUCUUCCUGCCCAAGAGGCUGAAGCCAGGCUGCAGUUUCUCCAAGACUUGCAGAACCAGCCUCAACGCACCUCCUCCUCCGAGUUUUGGCUGCUAGAUUGUGAAGCUGUUGUGCAAAUAAUUGCACCAUCACUGUGUUAUUCACGGUGUCCUAUUCAUUUCUUAAAAUUACCGGGGAGCAAGGCGGAACGCAGAGGAGAUCGGUUACCCCGAGCGUGGGAACGCAGACAGCUCAGGCCUCCCCUUCCCUGACGAACAUCCUGUAUGCAGCCGAGCCACCUGUGCGCAAAACACCUUCAAAAGGUGCCUCGGGAAACAAUGACCGCUGGGCGAACGAGGUGUGCUUUCCGUGCCGGACCUGCCACUACAGAUGUGCAGCCACCGGCCACCCAGGUGACCGUCGCGCCUUCGGUGGCCCACCUGCUGCUUUGCGGUCUCUCAGCUCUCCGCACCGAUGUUCUGACCCAACAGUGUCCAGAAAUGUUUACAUGCAAAGCCAGGAAAGCUGUUUAGGAGCGCCUUGCAUGUAAACAUCACACGUAAUUCCGAGACUCCUUUUACAGUGUUUUUGGCCCAUCUGUGCCUGAAUUUUUAAAAUGUCCCUGAACUCAACUGUCCAGACAUUCCCCCUCUGCCCUUUCUCUGCACAUGGAGGGCUCGAGGGAAGGGCGCCGGAACUGGGCUUCUCUCGCCUGGAACCCCGUCACUCAGGGAACUUGCUGAGGGCAGCCCGUGCCUAGUCUUUCCGAGCGUACCUGCCCUGGGCACUGCCAGGAGUCAGCCCGAGACCCCUUCACCUGCCCGCGCACACCUGCCGGGGGUCAACCCGGGACCCCUUCACCUUCCCUGGGCACCGGCGGGGCAGCGCAGACUCGUUCCUGCUCGGGGGACUGGGAGGACCGGCAGCAACAACCGGGACUACUUUUCGCAGACCCCCCAUCCCCACCCCGGUCGGCCGGCGGAGGGAGCGCGGGCAGAGAUGUCUCGGCGCGCACCUCAAUCAGUGCGCAUGCGCGCCUCAAUCAGUGCGCAUGCGUGUCUCCGGUGGGGCUCCGCGCCUUCCUGCCCGCCAGCUUGUGCACUUCUCUCAGGACCUUCCAGCUCCGAAACCUGGGACUUAAUCCAGCUGACACUGGCUUCAGCAUACUGACCAUGGGACCUGGCAGGAUUCCGUGUGCCCAGGACGAGCCGACCCAGGUGGUGAAUGCUGGCAUGAGUGACCCACGGCGCCUGCUGCACAGCCAGUCUGCAGACAGAGCCACCGUGCAUCCAGCCUCUGGAAGGUACUCCUGAUGGAUGUUCAGAAAGGCAUUUACCUCACCUGCUUUGUUACCUUUUAUAUUGAACAAGUGUCAGACACUCACAGCAAAGUGUCAUCAAUAGCAUUAAACUCCUGAAGUUUUAGCAGAA